This 69-nucleotide transfer RNA is filed under the name Acentrogobius chlorostigmatoides (greenspot goby). RNAcentral describes it as "tRNA-Ala". It matches the Rfam family "tRNA". From Rfam's summary of the family: Transfer RNA (tRNA) molecules are approximately 80 nucleotides in length. Their secondary structure includes four short double-helical elements and three loops (D, anti-codon, and T loops). Lineage: Eukaryota; Metazoa; Chordata; Actinopteri; Gobiiformes; Gobiidae. RNAcentral also lists the same sequence under 1 other name. The record is from RNAcentral.
AAGGCUUUAGCUUAAUUAAAGUAUCUGUUUUGCAUACAGAAGAUGUGGGUUAAUGUCCUGCAAGUCUUA